AUGGAUUGGAGCGACAAUAAUGGAACAACCCGCCACGACCAUGAUUCCGGCGACGGCGCCGCCACGGCCACGUGCUCCGGCAUCGGCUGCUGCGAGACGCCCGUCCCCAUCGGCCGCCCCUCCUACCGCGUGGACAUCAAGUCACUGGACUCGAGCAACGAGCACGCCGACAGGCUGCCCAUCGCGGUGCGCAUCGCCGAGAGAGGGUGGUUCGACGGCGCCUCCGCCGCGCUCCUCAACGACUCGCCGGGGUACUCGCCCUCGCGCGGGCCGGCGGUGCCCGUUGUCCUCGAGUUCGCCUUGGAUUCGAAGCCGGUGGUGCUGCCGGGAGUGGCAACGUCGGGCUGCCCCGUGGACGCGCGGAGGAGCGCGUGCCAGAGCAGCCAUACCUCCUGCCGCAACGUCUCCGGCAACUACCGCAGCGGCUACGUGUGCCGGUGCCUGGACGGUUACCAGGGCAACCCAUACCUUGCCGGCGGAUGCCAGGACGUCGACGAGUGCAAGCUGCCGGGCAUGUGCUUCGGCAAGUGCACCAACACGGCCGGAGGGCACCUAUGCCGGUGCCCGCGUGGCGCCCAUGGCGACCCACGCAUAAGAAAUGGCUGCAUCAGAUCUUCUCUAGGUGAGCACAAAACAAUAAAAUUGCACAAGGCGGACAUCGCCGAGAGGAUGAUCAUCCCCUUGGCGGAGCUACAAGAGGCCACAAACAAUUUCGACAAAGCUCGCGAGAUCGGUGGAGGAGGGCAUGGCACGGUCUACAAAGGGAUCAUGUCGGACCUGCACGUCGUGGCGAUCAAGAAGUCCAAGGUCGCGAUCCAGAGGGAGAUCGACGAGUUCAUAAAUGAGGUAGCCAUCCUCUCACAGAUCAACCAUCGAAACGUGGUGAAACUCUUCGGGUGUUGCCUUGAGACGGAGGUGCCGUUGCUGGUGUACGAGUUCAUCUUCAAUGGGACCCUUUACCAUCAUCUUCACGUCCAAAAACCCGCGCCAUCCCUGGCAUGGGAAGAUCGGGUAAGGAUCGCAACCGAAACCGCGAGAGCUCUCGCCUACCUUCACUCAGCCGUGUCGUUCCCUAUAGUCCACAGGGAUACCAAGUCCCAAAACAUUCUGUUAGAUGGCACUCUUAUAACAAAGCUCACGGAGAAGAGCGACGUUUACAGCUUCGGUGUCCUUCUCAUGGAGCUUUUGACAAGGAAAAAAACAUGCUCAUAUCGGUCAUCGGAGGAGGAAAACCUUGUCGCAUAUUUCACCGCAUCGCUAGCAGCAGGCAAGCUGGUUCGCAUGCUAGAUCCUCAGGUCGUUGAAGAAGGCGGUAAGGAGGUUGAAGAGGUGACUGUGCUGGCGGUGGCAUGUGUGAGGAAUGAAGGAGACCACCGUCCAACCAUGAGGCAAGUGGAGUUUGACACUUUGGUUAUCGCGGUGGCAUGUGCUGUAACGUCUGAACCUUAUGAUGUUUGUCUGUGGCAACUACUUUGGUUAUCGCCGAGAGCUGUUAAAGAGUCUGCUUGCUAUGCUUUAGCUUUGGCUUAA
RNAcentral lists this ribosomal RNA (1530 nucleotides) under Triticum aestivum (bread wheat). Its description in RNAcentral is "partial small subunit ribosomal RNA". Lineage: Eukaryota; Viridiplantae; Streptophyta; Magnoliopsida; Poales; Poaceae. The record is from RNAcentral.